This 467-nucleotide ribosomal RNA is filed under the name uncultured bacterium. RNAcentral describes it as "partial 16S ribosomal RNA". It matches the Rfam family "Bacterial small subunit ribosomal RNA", at positions 28 to 507 of the family's 1533-position model. The record is from RNAcentral.
GACGAACGCUGGCGGCGUGCUUAACACAUGCAAGUCGAACGGAAAGGCCUAGCUUGCUGGGUACUCGAGUGGCGAACGGGUGAGUAACACGUGGGUGAUCUGCCCCUGACUUUGGGAUAAGCCUGGGAAACUGGGUCUAAUACCGGAUAUUCAUUUUUCCUCGCAUGGGGAUUUGUGGAAAGCUUUUGCGGUUGGGGUUGGGCCCGCGGCCUAUCAGCUUGUUGGUGGGGUAAUGGCCUACCAAGGCGACGACGGGUAGCCGACCUGAGAGGGUGAUCGGCCACACUGGGACUGAGACACGGCACAGACUCCUACGGGAGGCAGCAGUGGGGAAUAUUGCACAAUGGGCGGAAGCCUGAUGCAGCGACGCCGCGUGAGGGAUGACGGCCUUCGGGUUGUAAACCUCUUUCAGCUCCGACGAAGCGAAAGUGACGGUAGGAGCAGAAGAAGCACCGGCCAACUACGUG